AAGUCGUAACAAGGUUUCCGUAGGUGAACCUGCGGAAGGAUCAUUAAUGAAAUGAUAAUUUUUUGGGGUUUUCCCUGAAAAAUAAUUCACCUUUUGUGCAUUGUUAUUAGAUAUACUUUGGUUAGAGCUUUGGUUUCAUAUUUUUGAAAUCAACUUCUCGCUGACUCUAUCCUAAUAUAUGGGACAGUUGGCUAUGAAGCGGCCUACCAAGGUUUUUUAUCAAACUCGUUUAAUUUAUCUGACCUAAACUAUUAUAAUAAAAUCAUAACUUUCAACAACGGAUCUCUUGGCUCUC
Molecule: unclassified non-coding RNA, 295 nt
Filed under: fungal sp.
Lineage: Eukaryota; Fungi
Description: partial internal transcribed spacer region
Rfam family: Eukaryotic small subunit ribosomal RNA (bases 1-46)
Source: RNAcentral